AUGUGCACGUUCAAUUUCUUCAGUGGCAAAAAAGUGGAACCUGCAGGAGAAGCCACGGGGGGCGAGGACGUCCAACUCGGCGAGAUUAACGUCAUAGUCGACCCCAUGUUCGCUGGCAAGACCACCGUGGUUCUCCGCCGGCACCGUCCAUGGCUGGAGCUUGCUGGCGAUGGCGGAUGUGGAGCUUCACCACCAUUCGCAGCUCCAAACCGUGAUCCAGUUCUUCGUGAGGCUCUCGAGCUUGUAUUUUUUUCCAGUUCAUCUAAUGUUAGGGACAGUCAUCCGGGUGCAUGGGAGCAACUGCUGAUGGAGGACGAGUCAAAGUGUUGUGACUGGCUGCUAUAG
RNAcentral lists this ribosomal RNA (345 nucleotides) under Triticum aestivum (bread wheat). RNAcentral describes it as "partial small subunit ribosomal RNA". Lineage: Eukaryota; Viridiplantae; Streptophyta; Magnoliopsida; Poales; Poaceae. The record is from RNAcentral.